RNAcentral lists this transfer RNA (74 nucleotides) under Candidatus Pacearchaeota archaeon. RNAcentral describes it as "tRNA-Glu". It matches the Rfam family "tRNA". From Rfam's summary of the family: Transfer RNA (tRNA) molecules are approximately 80 nucleotides in length. The record is from RNAcentral. Lineage: Archaea; Nanobdellati.
GCCCCGAUAGUUUAGCUGGCCAAGAAUCCGGCCCUCUCACGGCCGUGACCCGAGUUCGAAUCUCGGUCGGGGCG